UACGUAGGGGGCAAGCGUUGUCCGGAUUUAUUGGGCGUAAAGAGCGUGUAGGCGGCCAGACAGGUCCGUUGUGAAAACUCGAGGCUCAACCUCGAGACGCCGAUGGAAACCGUUUGGCUAGAGUCCGGAAGAGGAGAGUGGAAUUCCCGGUGUAGCGGUGAAAUGCGCAGAUAUCGGGAAGAACACCCGUGGCGAAGGCGGCUCUCUGGGACGGUACUGACGCUGAGACGCGAAAGCGUGGGGAGCGAACAGG
RNAcentral lists this ribosomal RNA (253 nucleotides) under uncultured bacterium. Its description in RNAcentral is "partial 16S ribosomal RNA". It matches the Rfam family "Bacterial small subunit ribosomal RNA", at positions 524 to 776 of the family's 1533-position model. The record is from RNAcentral.